This 72-nucleotide transfer RNA is filed under the name Bos taurus (domestic cattle). It matches the Rfam family "tRNA". Rfam says of the family: Transfer RNA (tRNA) molecules are approximately 80 nucleotides in length. Lineage: Eukaryota; Metazoa; Chordata; Mammalia; Artiodactyla; Bovidae. The record is from Rfam by way of RNAcentral.
UCCUUCGUGGCUCAGACGGUAAAGCGUCUGCCUAUAACACAGGAGACCCAGGUUCAACCCCUGGGUUGGGAA